This 253-nucleotide ribosomal RNA is filed under the name uncultured bacterium. RNAcentral's name for it is "partial 16S ribosomal RNA". It matches the Rfam family "Bacterial small subunit ribosomal RNA", at positions 524 to 776 of the family's 1533-position model. The record is from RNAcentral.
UACGGAGGAGGCAAGCGUUAUCCGGAAUUAUUGGGCGUAAAGCGUCCGCAGGUGGCAGUGUAAGUCUGCUGUCAAAGAAUGAGGCUUAACCUUAUCAAGGCAGUGGAAACUACACAGCUAGAGUACGGUCGGGGUAGAAGGAAUUCCUGGUGUAGCGGUGAAAUGCGUAGAGAUCAGGAAGAACACCGGUGGCGAAAGCGUUCUGCUAGACCUGUACUGACACUGAGGGACGAAGGCUAGGGGAGCGAAUGGG